RNAcentral lists this ribosomal RNA (253 nucleotides) under uncultured bacterium. Its description in RNAcentral is "partial 16S ribosomal RNA". It matches the Rfam family "Bacterial small subunit ribosomal RNA", at positions 524 to 776 of the family's 1533-position model. The record is from RNAcentral.
UACGAGGGGGGCGAGCGUUGUUCGGAAUUAUUGGGCGUAAAGGGUGCGUAGGCGGUUUGGUAAGUCUUGUGUGAAAUCUCCAGGCUCAACUUGGAGUCUGCACGAGAAACUGCCGGGCUUGAGUGUGGGAGAGGUGAGUGGAAUUCCUGGUGUAGCGGUGAAAUGCGUAGAUAUCAGGAGGAACACCUGUGGCGAAAGCGGCUCACUGGACCACAACUGACGCUGAUGCACGAAAGCGUGGGGAGCAAACGGG